UUGCAGAGUCAAAUUCAAGGGAAGUGCUUCCUGAAGGGGCAUUAAGACUCAUGGAAAUUUGAUGUCAAGCUAUCAAAUGUUAUAAAGUGGAAUUCCUCUGCUGACUUCAGAGAAGAGAUGCUGGUUGGCAGUUGAUAAGGACCUGUCCCUGGAUCUGCAAGACAGUUUGUCUAUUCCUCUGCCAGUGCAGCACUGUUUCAGAAAGCAUACAUCUGGAUCAGGGAAAAAAAGAGAGAGUUCAAACUAUUUUGCUACGUUACUAAAAGUCUCCACCGAUUAUUUCAAUCAAAAGCAAAGAAUCGAUCUCCUUCUAGUUCAGAAGACAGUUGGGUCCUCUCUGCAACAUAUUUUGCUGGUGACUCGAUGGUUCCAGAGACUAACAUGGAAAUAUAAAGUCAUAGUGAACCUUGUGACCAUUUUAAAUCUAAUCCAGGCGAUGCUGUGGGACCUGGCUCCUUGAGGAUGGACAGACGGACGGACAGCAAGGCUGAUGCCUGAGAGCAUGCGGUGAGGUUGGCUGAUGGCAGAAGAAGCACUCCCGACUUUCCUGACUGCCAACAGAGCAGCGCGGUAAAAUGCACUUGUUAUGAAGGAACCUCCCUGACUGCUCUGCCCAGCCCUUCCCGGGGUCCCCACCACCCCUCGCCCCUCGUUGCCGCUCAGCGGGGUCCUUCCCCCAGCUCGGCUCCCCGGUGCCUCCUGGCUCAUGCCCCAUUGGAUAGGUUCUCCCUCUAGCCUACAAAUGCCUAAGCCCAGGCAACGGUUCCCUCCAACACUGUGACCAAACCUCUCUGUCCUUACUUUCCAAUCUGGUAGAAAACACAAGGGAAGCACAAUUUGCUACCCCCCACCCUGAAGGAAAAGAGGACACCUUGGUCAGUGAUCAUAUUUCAGUAAUCAAAGAAAAAAUUAGGUUAUUCUCCUUCCCUUGCUAGACUCCAGCACUCAGAGUAAUCUGAAAUGGAAAAAAGACUGAAAAGGCCUUUGAUAGUGACACACCGCUUUCUCUUCAUGUGCGCUCUUUUAUCAGAGCUUACAGACAUUUGAGCAGAGUGUGGGGCCCUGUUGAAUCGGCUGUUUUGCACAUUUUUAAUGAUUGUUUUCUCAUUCAUUUCCUGUUUUCUUACCAGUGGCCCCAACCACAUUCAGAACCUAGAUAGUAAGUGCCUUGGUAUCUCUGCCAGCUGUGUUUAAACUCCUUUUUCUACUCUUUAAAAAAGCUUAGAGCUCCACUUACUUCCCUUCUGAUACAUAACUUAAGCUAAACUUGACUUGAGGCCAACCAUAUCUAAAAAAAGGAAAAAGAAAGCUUGGGUAGAGCAGGAAACAGGUAAUUCUGCUGCUGUUGCAAGUGCUGGAACUUAGACGUAGUAUUUUCUAAUAACCUUCUCCAGCUGCCAGUUACUUGUUCAAAAUGAAACACAUACAUCGCAGGGGGAAGAAGGCUAAUGUGUUUCUGA
RNAcentral lists this long non-coding RNA (1460 nucleotides) under Struthio camelus australis. RNAcentral describes it as "lncRNA (ENSSCUG00000014657.1)". The record is from RNAcentral. Lineage: Eukaryota; Metazoa; Chordata; Aves; Struthioniformes; Struthionidae.